RNAcentral lists this long non-coding RNA (200 nucleotides) under Brassica napus (rape). RNAcentral's name for it is "long non-coding RNA (BNAP_LNC026517)". The record is from RNAcentral. Lineage: Eukaryota; Viridiplantae; Streptophyta; Magnoliopsida; Brassicales; Brassicaceae.
UAAACCCUAAACCCUAAACUCUAAACCCUAAACCCUAAACCCUAAACUUUAAACCCUAAACCCUAAACUCUAAACUCUAAACCCUAAACCCUAAACCCUAAACUUUAAACCCUAAACCCUAAACUCUAAACUCUAAACCCUAAACCCUAAACCCUAAACUCUAAACCCUAAACUCUAAACCCUAAAUCCUAAACCCCACA